CCCGGACCCAGGCCCUACCCGCGCGGGCCUCAGGGCCACAGGUCUCCUCCCCGCCCUCAGGGCCCUGCCGCCCCACGCGCUUAGGACCUGUGCUCCCGCCCAGCCCCAGGCCCAGAAUGCCGGCCGGACCUCGGGCUUUGGGACGGGGCGCCGCCCUCCGCGCCCCGACCCGCCCGGGUCACAGAGCCUGUGCCUGGCUCUGCAGCCGUGAGACCCUCGCCUCCCUCGCGUGACCUCCUGGCCAGCGGGAAGCCGAGUUAGGAAGUACGGUGGGCCCCCUCUCCCCCUGCGCCUAGCCGGUGAGACGCUCCGCAGGGGACUGACAGCCAGCUACGCUCCUAGAGGCUGGGCUGGGCCGCAGCCCCCCGCCCCUUGCCCAUUGCUUUGCAGACCUGCCCGUCAGCCCAGAGCCACACUUAGCAGGAGGGAAGCAAAGACGGUCUGGAGGAGCUGGGCACAAAGAAGUCUGGUGGCUAGAACUGAGCAGUCGGGGUGGGGCAGCCACCUGGGAACCCCAGGUCCCAGGCAAGGGACCAAAGGGCACCCAGCAGGCAGCCGCCAGACCGUUCUGCACUGACUUCAGUGCCUUCAAGGGUGCCGCACGUCUUCUCAGCAAGAGGCUCCACCCCGGAGUCCAAGGCGGUGUCCAGGAGGUUGAGGCACCUGGGUGAUGCCCCUCAGCCUGGCUGAGCUACGGGAAGUGUAGGAAGCCCAGCCCCUCUCCCCACCCAGAGUGGUCCUCCUGGACAGAGCAGGUCCUGUCCCUCACACCCUCCCUGGGGGUCCUGGCCACCUACCAAGACAGCCUGGCCCCCACCCAUUGGUCUUCGUGUGUACAAAACAGCAGAAACAAAUCUCAAACAUUUAAAAUGGGGGUUGUUGGCUUGAAAGGGGGAAUGCGAUUGCUGGGGGAAUUUCAAGGGAGAGUAGAUGAUGUCUACAACCUCAGGCUGCAGGCUAGACUGCAGGGCAGAGCUUUGGACAUUGUCCUUCCUGGGUGGCACAGGGCAGCCUCCGGGGAUGACCCCACGUGGAUGAAGUGAGGGUUGGCAGUGCUGCCCUCUGAGAGCAGGAGGUAGGGGUGGGUCCCCGACCUCAGGGAGGGGAACCACACAGACCAGACAGCGAGGGGCUCAGCCAGGAGGAAACUACCCACAGAGGCCAUAAUGGUGCCUACCUGUGGGCAGCUCCUGCCAGCCUGUCCCUCACCUCUUGGGUAGGCUCAAGCUUGGCCAAGCUGUAUUGCAGGUCUCCUGGCCACAGGAGGCCCGGGGUUCUUGCAGGAGCAGCUGUGGAUUGGGUGGGACCAUGGUGACCAGCAGUCUCAGAGGCCAGUGGCCUGAAGGGAGAGCAGGAAGGGCCUCCAGAAACCUCUGGGUGCCUACAAUCCCAGACCCCAAGCACUGGCCUGGGGGGCUUCAAUGUGAGAAAGUGUCAGUUGCACCCAAAGGUCAAGACGAGCUAAAGCAGAUGUUUCAGUGGUGGGCGGCCAGGUCCCUGGGUCCUGAACAUCAAUCAUCAUAUGUUGUAAGAGGCUCCUGCGUGUUUUCGUCCAUGUGCGGGGCAGCAUGGGCUGCUGGGAGGGUGGUAGACCAGAGUGAGCUCCGGUCCCUGGAUGCCCGUGGGCUGCAGGGGUCAUGGCUGCCCAUGGACACUGGGUCAGCAGGCUCACAGAGCCCCUGCCUCCCACCCUGGGGUGAGGUCAGGUGGACCCUGCAGCCCAGCCCACAGCAGCGGGCAGGGACCUCCCAUAGUGUCCCGUGUGGCACCAAAUAGAAGCCACAUUCCCAAGGCCCAGGGCUGUCUGCCCAGCCACUGCUGUCUGUGGCCAGCCUCCCGUCCCUACCUCCUCCCAGUGGGACCUGAGGUGAGGCUGGUCCCGGGCUCAGGGGCUUUUUGGUUAGGGUGCGCCUCAGGGCAACCGCUUAGCCCUGAGCCUCAGUUUCCCUCCAGUGAGCCAGUGAGGAUGAGGACCGAGGACAGGAGGGCUCUUGGCAUAGUCACGGCCUCUAUGAGCAGGGCUCAUCGACAGUUAACAAGCACAGCAGCCUCUUCCUGCCAAAGCCCAGACACGGGCACAGACAGAUCCCAUUGGAGGAGGGCAGAAAGGCUCUGUCUAGCCGACCUUGGUUAGUGCUCCGCACUGUCCUGGGCUCUGGCCCACGUUAUCCGGGUGCCUUGACUGACUGCACGAGGGAGCACAGGGGCUGCCCUGCCCUGUGGGUGAGGAAGUCCUGGUGGGCAGCCUGGUGAGGGCCUGGUCUGACUCCCCAAGCCCCAGGAAGCCCCUGCUGGGUGAGCGGGGCCCUCGCCUCGCCACCUUGGGGUGCCCUGGGCUGUCCCUGCUCCCCCUUCCCUGGACACAGGUCCCUGGGCUGCAGUUCCACUCUGACCCUGUCAGUUCCCCCUGCAGCUUCAGGGCCACCUCCUGGGGGUGCAGAAGAGGCCACACCCUGGACCAACAGUCAGAAUAGCAAUAUCAGACAGCAACAGGACAGAGGAUGCUCAGAAGACAUGGGAAUAAGCAGGGCCGGUGGGAGUGGAGCCGGGGCAAGGUGGGGUUGGAAGCCAACUGUUUGGAAGCCUGACCCCCGUCCUCACUGCCAGAAUCUGCACCCAGUCCCCUGCCUGCCACAUGACACAUCCUUGGGGACAGAGCCCCUGGGCCCCACCAUGCCUGGGGAGGCCACACUGGCUGCAGAUAAGCUGUUCAGGAAGCCUGCAGUGACAUUAUUAGUGCUGUGAAGAGACCAAGAGCUGUGUGCCGUAGGUGGGGAAGCCACAUGGGAGAGCCGACGGGAUUUGGCAGGAAAGGGAGAGAAGUGGAAGGGAAGAGGUGUGCUCUGUCCACAGGGGUCUGUCAAGGCCAAGCAUCCUAACAAACCACUAAAAUACUAGACCAGGGCCAGUUUCAACCCUACAGUAAGAUAGGUCAGUUACCAAGGUCACAGGGCACAAAGUACGACUGUGCCUCUAAAUACUAGCAACAAGCACUGGUGUAUCCCGUACUAGAGGGGCUCCCUAGAACAGAUUUAAUGUAAUACUGUGAAGAUACAUGAUUCACAAGGUAGGGUCACAGUGGCUGCCUGCAGUCAGCUGUGGGAGGUGAAAGGGCCGUCUGUGUGCCUGAGAGCCAAACGUCCCGUCAGAGGGGAGGCGCAGAGCUCACAGCAGUGUCCCAUGGAGUCCAUGACAGGAAGCUAAGAGUCUGCACUGAAGCCCGGAAACAGACACCCAAAGGCAAAGGUGAAGGCUGGAGCUCCUCUGAAGACACAGAAGUGAGCCUUCUUCCCUUUUAUUCCACCCAGGCCGCAAGCCCAUUGGUUGGCACCGUCCACACCCACGCCCAUGGUGGGUCUUCCUUCAAAAUCCAGCAGCUGUUUCAAAAUUGAUACGGAGACGUGGAGGACGCACAGCAGCAGAAACAUUUUGAGAAAGAAAAGCAAAGAAGACUUCAGAUGCGGACCUGCUCACUUGCGACAGCCAAUCGAUCACACACAGGAGCUGGUGACCUCGAGGGAAAGGGACAGUGCUCAGUCAAGGGGCCCCAAGAACAGCGGGCUGUGGAUGUGGGCAGACGUGAGCCUCGGCCUGGGGCGGCUCCCGGGCAGGCACUCCCUAGCAUUCUGGAGGCUGGGGCUGUUCCCGAACCACACUCCAAGGUGAGCACACUGUGCACACACAUCAGUUCGAAGUGCAUGAUGGACUGAAAUGAAAAGCCCCUGCUCAGGCCCACAGCCCACAGCUAGAUACCUUGUGAGGCGGAAGAGGCAGACUGUAAAAUGAACAGUGCUGUUCAGUGUGGUGGUCAUUAUGUAAUAGCCACAUAUGGCUAUUUAAAUUAAAGUCAACUAAAAUGAAGUUACAAACUCCACUCCUCGCCACUUCUGUGCUCACAGGACAGACAGCUGGUGACUGCCAUUGUCUCAGAAAAGUCUCCACGGCAAGUGUCCUCUUUCUUCACUGUGACUGUCAGGCUUGAUCUGGCCAUGACCUGUUUAAUGAAUGUGCUGUUUAAUUCCAAGCUACAGUUUCAGCAGAUACAAAAAAACUGCAGCCCUCAGCAAAACAUGCAGCUAAAAAAACAGAUACAGGCUGUGCUGUCUGUGGGCGGGGAGAACACAGAACGGGAUGUUAUAAAAAACCACGAAGUUAGACCACAAAGUACAGCGCAUCUUCCCAGCCCAAGUUACCUGGCAACACCCAUUUUAAGACCGAGGGCCUUACCAAACGCUCGGAGGAGCUGACUAGUGAAGCACACCCAGGAAUCCCAGCGGUGCCUUCAGAAUGUAAGACCAAGAGCCUUACCAAACGCUCCGAGGAGCUGACUACAGCGAAGAACACCCGGGAAGGAACACACCGGACAAGUUGGAAAAUAAAACAGACCUUUAUUAGUCUGGCCAGACGGCACUCCCAAAGCAAAAUAGCUUAGAGAGGCAACUGGCUCAGAGUCCGAGGCUGUUUUUAUAGGGGGUUGAGGGGGAAGUUAACAUACAGAAUUAAAGAAAAGGGGACAAAGGUUAGUGGUCGAGUGUCACGUAUUGAUGGUCAGCAGACAUUUACAGCUUUUUCUAAAAAUUGUGGUGCCCGGAACAUCAGUUCCGGGCAGACAAGGAGUUGAGUAGUUUACUUUGGGACUUUAGGUCUGUUACAGAUUUUUAUCUAGUGUCCCAAAACUAACAAACAUCUUUAUCCAUUAACUCACAUUUAAUCACAAUGGGGCUGGAGAAAAGGAACAAAGGUUAUGCAGUCCCACACCAUUGAUGGCUGCAUGGUCCCGACUGCAAAUAUGUGCUCUGACUCCGUAUGCGACAGACCCCUUCCCAAUCCCCUAUAAAACUGCACCUUGCCUUUGUCCUCCACUGAUGGCUUUGUUGGCCUCCGUGGGCCUGCACCCAGAGGAAUCAAGCCUGUGCCUUGUUUCCUUCCAUGAGCCUGCUUAGGUGGUCUCAGUCCUCCACCAUUUGUCCAGUAACAAAAUCCCUGAGAUAAUGGACUCGUAAAAAGGAGCAGUCUGGUCGCACAGUCCGGGGGCUCAGUACGUGGCUGCUGGGCCCAGGGUUUGGGGCCAUGGUGAGGCAGACACCAUGAGUGAGGUGUGGUGCACAGUGGAGCAGAGCUGCUCGCCUCAUGUCUUGCAGGCAGAGGGAACCAGGAAGGGCCAGGACUCCUGUGUCCCGCACAGGAACCCCAAGGCCUCCCACCAAGCUGGGCCUCUUGCAGCUUCUCCUCCUCCCGGUGGUUCCUCCAUGGGGACGGAGCUGCACACAUAGGCCUUGGGGCACUGCCAGCCAAACUCUCAGUGCUUCAUGGGUGGGAGCAGGAAGGCGUCCUCCCAGCUGGGCGGCGCACAGGAAGCUGAGGUUGCAACAGGGAGGGUAUCGAGUGCUCCUCCAUACGUGGGACCCUGCGGCAAACACACAGGUGGCCACACUGGGAGGAAGUACUCAGGUCCUGUGUCUGGCCCGACAGGACUUGGACCCACCUGUGUUGUGCCCAGAUUACGAAGUCCCAAAGACCACCAGAAGGCCGUUUCCGAUGUAAGCACAUGAGGGUCAUUUAUUCAAGCUUAAGCAGGGACUCUCAAUUGUCACCGACACAGCGGAUCAAGAUUGAGAGCCCCGAGUUCCAAAUUAGCAGGGUUUUUAUUGAGAUUACAGCAAGCUUCAGUCAUUAGCAGCCAUAUGAUUGGUUAACAUUUAGCAAGUAUGAAGUGUCGAAUUUUGAUUGGCUAGGCUCAUUGGGGGUUGAAGGGGAUUACGUAUAGGUUUUUACAAGAAAAAUGGGGACAAAGGUUAGUGGUCUACUGUCACGUACUGAUGGUCAGCAGACAUCUUGACUCAUGGUCAUGACCACCUUGUGUGGAUAGUCAGCACGUUAACAGAUUGUCCUAUAGAUAGUGGGCCCGGGACACUUGUUUCUAGGGCAAACAGAUGGCUGAGUCAUGAGCUUAGGAAUCUUGAGUUACAGAUCAUGUCUUUAGUCCCAGAUUAAGCACAUUUAAUCAUUAAUUUGAAAGAACAAAGGAGACUGCUCCAUUUUGGACAAAAUGGAGUCAUUCUGGUCUCACAUUCACAAAAUGGAGUCACUUUUGGUCUCACACAUGGAAGACAUGAACAACCGGUACAACCCAGAAAUGAAAAGAUCAAUAACCCAAUUGAAAGAUAUGCGUGAGACAGACCCAUUACAGAGAUAGACAAAUGACUAACAUGCAUAUGACCAUGUGCCUCGGGUCACUUGUCGUUUGUCCGGGAAAGAGGACCACGCCUCUCCCGUGAGAGGCUGACACUGAAGGCAGUGCUGAGCUUUGGCGAGGUGUUAAAUGGCCCAUCUCGUGGGACACAGUGCAGCGAGCGCAGCGCCGCCCUGGCUCAGCCACAGCCUGCUCGGGCUCCGCCUUCCAGCAGAGGCUGGGGCCCAGGUUUGCCCUGACUGUGUGGAGUCGGAGGGCAGGCGGCAUCCGGACGCGCACGAGCAGACAAGGGAGGCUGGAGGUGGAGACAGCUCAGGAUAGCAGGAAGCCGCCCGGUGAGAGGCCCCACUGCCCGGGCGGGAGUCGCCGUGAGGUCCCCGCAGCAGCGCUGUCCUGCCAAGGCGGCGGUGCUGGGCGGGCAGGGCUGGGGCCCUGCUCCGGCCAGGGGUCCGCUGUGCCUGUGGAGGCGGAGGGCGCCCAAGGGUCAGACCGGGUCCAGCCGCACGCCCCUCGGCGCGGUUUAUGGCCUGGGAAUUGCACCUCCAUAAAAUUGAUUUUUUGAGUGCUCACCACCCGCCCUCCCCUCCUGGGAGUCCGUGCUGGCCCAGCUAGUCCUGAGGGGGACGGCGGAUGGGCCGCAGGAAGAGGCAGAGAGCCAGGGGAGUCCAGCAGGAGGGCCUGGGAGGGCGCGGAGGCCGGGCGGGGGGCGCGGGCGGCAGCUGGUGCCCGGCCUGGGCUGUAGCUGGGACUCUGUGCCCUGGAGCACCUGGAGGUGGGUGUGUUCGCAUCGCCGCGUGGCCCCCACAUCUCAACAGGGAGACCCCCGCCCCGCUCAGCCCCAGGGGCUGCACUCCAGGCUGCAGACCCCUGAGCCCUGCAUCUCAGGGUCUGGCUCUCCUUGGGCCUGGGGCUAUGCACUGCCCGGUUCCAGAACCAGCCACGAGGGGGCAGGGUGGGCAGCGAGCUCCCGCACCCCAGACCCCACCCCACCUGCAGCGUGCCCAGGUCGCCUCCCGUUCUGGGCUGCUCCCUGUGGGUAGGGCGCCCCACCUCUCCAAGACCCUGUGUGCCCCCAGGGCUGCACGGGACCCUCCCCUCGCCCACCCAGUCCCCAGCGAGGUCCCUGCCCGCCCCCUCCGCCCUGCGAC
Long non-coding RNA from Heterocephalus glaber (naked mole-rat), 7341 nucleotides. The record is from Ensembl. Lineage: Eukaryota; Metazoa; Chordata; Mammalia; Rodentia; Bathyergidae.